Molecule: long non-coding RNA, 1007 nt
Filed under: Setaria viridis
Lineage: Eukaryota; Viridiplantae; Streptophyta; Magnoliopsida; Poales; Poaceae
Description: long non-coding RNA (SVIR_LNC000815)
Source: RNAcentral
CUAAUCACCCCAUAUGCCUAACACCUUAGAGAGCGUAGCUAUUCUAGUCAUUUUAAAGUCUUGCACACUAAUCACCCCAUAUGCCUAACACUUUAGAGAGUGUAGCUAUUCUAGUCAUUUUAAAGUCUUGCACACUAGUUCCAACCCUAUACUUACAUGUCAAUUUUAGGAAUUAAAAUUGCAGGAAGUAAAGAGAGAGCUAGAACACCGAUCUUCCCCAAGUAUCAGAGAGUCGGCAUUCUCCCCUAGUUCUCAGAGCACCCGCACAAGGACCAAAUGCUAACUAGUGGCAAUCCAUUCUCAACUUCAGACCAGUGGGUUCCAAACCGAGCACAAUGUUCUUAGGACUUCUCACAAGACGACUCCUCGAGAGCUCACCAAGAAACAUACCACCAACACCAAGCCAUAUAGGUGAUGCCGAUCACCAAGAAUAACAAGUAAAGAACACCACUUAACCUACACAAAGCUAAAGAGAUGGGUGGAUGCACAAUUGAUACUCUCCAAGCACAAAUGAUGUCCUUAAUCUUAAAUUAAAAAACUUGCAAAUCACUUCUAGUGCUUCUCUUGUUCUUUGAACUUCCAAAAAAAAUUAUGACCAAGGCCUGCAAAAUUCAGGGUCACCGACAGCUCCUGCACACUAUUACUGUGCACACCGAAUUAUUCGGUGAUCACUUUCCUUCAUGUUCCAACAGUCACUAACUAUCACCGACUCAUCCAAUGAUACCCUUUAUUGUUAAACACCAGUGCAUACAGUGUGGCUUUGAAAUCAUGCACAACCGAAUUUGAGCAAUGCGAACCGAUGAACACUGACUCAUCUGGUGUAGAUUCACAUCAGAGCAUACAGUGUGGCCCACAAAUCAUACAAACCCGAAUUCGAGCCGAUGUUGAGCCGAUCCAAGAUGACCACCGACUUAUACGAUGACUAUAUCGGAUAACUAUCAUUGUUUAAACCGAACAAUCGGUGUGGUACUGUAUACAUCAAGAAUCAACCAACAGUUAAACCCCUG